RNAcentral lists this ribosomal RNA (303 nucleotides) under uncultured bacterium. RNAcentral describes it as "partial 16S ribosomal RNA". It matches the Rfam family "Bacterial small subunit ribosomal RNA", at positions 507 to 809 of the family's 1533-position model. The record is from RNAcentral.
AGCAGUAGCCGCGGUAAUACGGAGGGUGCAAGCGUUAAUCGGAAUUACUGGGCGUAAAGCGCACGCAGGCGGUCUGACAAGUCAGAUGUGAAAUCCCCGGGCUUAACCUGGGAACUGCAUUUGAAACUGUCAGGCUGGAGUCUUGUAGAGGGGGGUGGAAUUCCAGGUGUAGCGGUGAAAUGCGUAGAGAUCUGGAGGAAUACCGGUGGCGAAGGCGGCCCCCUGGACAAAGACUGACGCUCAGGUGCGAAAGCGUGGGGAGCAAACAGGAUUAGAUACCCGCGUAGUCCCUGUCUCUUAUAA